CGAGCGUUAGCUUAAAACCCAAAAGACUUGGCGGUGCCCUAUACCACCUAGAGGAGCCUGUUCUAUAAUCGAUAAUCCCCGAUCAACCUCACCACCCCUUGCCCAUACCGCCUGUAUACCUCCGUCGUCAACUGACCCCUCAAGGGAAAUAGUUGGUUUAAUGGCUUAUCACCAGAAAGUCAGGUCAAGGUGCAGCGAAUGGGGUGGGAAGAAAUGGGCUACAUUCUCUACCUUUAGACUACACGAAAGAUCACUAUGAAACCUGAUUGGAAGGCGGAUUUAGCAGUAAAAAGAGACUAGAGCGCUCUUUUUAAGUUGGCCCUAGGGCGCGCACACACCGCCCGUCACCCUCUUCAACUCCAUAUUUUUGUAUUCCUAAUCCCCCUACAGGAGAAUAGAAGAGGCAAGUCGUAACAUGGUAAGUCCACCGGAAGGUGGACUUGG
This 444-nucleotide ribosomal RNA is filed under the name Xenophrys periosa. Its description in RNAcentral is "partial 12S ribosomal RNA". It matches the Rfam family "Bacterial small subunit ribosomal RNA", at positions 883 to 1521 of the family's 1533-position model. The record is from RNAcentral. Lineage: Eukaryota; Metazoa; Chordata; Amphibia; Anura; Megophryidae.